Molecule: non-coding RNA, 253 nt
Filed under: Puia sp.
Lineage: Bacteria; Pseudomonadati; Bacteroidota; Chitinophagia; Chitinophagales; Chitinophagaceae
Also listed under: 2 other names
Description: partial 16S ribosomal RNA
Rfam family: Bacterial small subunit ribosomal RNA
Source: RNAcentral
UACGGAGGGUGCAAGCGUUAUCCGGAUUCACUGGGUUUAAAGGGUGCGUAGGUGGGCAGGUAAGUCAGUGGUGAAAUCUCCGGGCUUAACCCGGAAACUGCCGUUGAUACUAUCUGUCUUGAAUAUAGUGGAGGUGAGCGGAAUAUGUCAUGUAGCGGUGAAAUGCUUAGAUAUGACAUAGAACACCCAUUGCGAAGGCAGCUCGCUACACUAUCAUUGACACUGAGGCACGAAAGCGUGGGGAUCAAACAGG